GCAACAGAGUGUUAUUUAUUCGGUGCACCAGUGCAGGCAAGUGUGCACACUGCUGCAUAUAAUUUCGCCAUUGCAAGCUGCAGAGACAUAUCUAAUAUACUCGCCGCCGUGGGAGGUAUAACAUUCGGGAACUAAAUUGUAAUUCAUACACACAGAAUUGGUGCAUCAGUGGGCUUCCUGUUACAAUGGCACUGAGGGGAAAAGUUGCUAUCAUUACAGGUUCCAGUUCAGGAAUUGGGGCAGGAAUUGCAGUAGUGUUUGCAAAAGAAGGAGCCAAACUGUCUUUGACUGGCAGGAACCAGAAGAAUUUGGAGGAAGUGGCUAAGAACUGCAAGACGAAAUGUUCUGACGAUGUUCUCAUAAACGUGGGUGACGUCACGGAUGCUGCUUUCAGAAAGACUCUCGUGGAGACAACCAAGAAGAAGUUCGGGAAAAUCGACAUACUGGUUAACAAUGCUGGGAUCGCAAUGCUGAGUCCGCUGAGAGCAGCGACCAAAGAGCAGUACGACAAAACAAUGGCUGUGAACGUGGAGGCACCUGUGUUUUUGACACAGUUGGUUUUACCGUAUUUGAUUGAAACUAAAGGGUGUGUGGUUAAUAUUUCGACUUGCGGAACGAGUACAAUUGUACCGAAUGGAGGUAUCUACAUCAUGACGAAGGCGGCCGUGGACACAUUCACAAGAUUCCUUGCCCAAGAAGUGGCUUCCCAGGGGGUACGCGUGAAUGCAGUCAAACCAGGCUACGUACCUUCUCCAAUACUGUCUGGGCAGUUAAAUAAAGAAGAAAGUGCCAUGAUGGACAAAACCAUGAUUAAAGCGACGCCAAUUGGUCGAGCGGCUACAGCAGAGGAAAUUGGACACAUUGUUGCCUUCUUGGCCUCGGAAAAAGCAGCCUUUAUAACAGGGGAAUGUAUCUUGGCCGAUGGUGGGAUGACAAUGACCACACCACCCAUCUCAGCAUAAGAAUCCGGAUUCAAUGACGUCUUUUUGCCUCCACUGUCUGCAGAUUGUGUACUACCAAAUACGCAAGGCCACUGGUCAAAUUGAAUCUCGGAUAUAACAGCUGAAGAGUGGUUUGAUAUCGGUCUAUGGGAUACGAAGUGGCGUCACAGACUUGUUGAGUGCUGCUUUUGCAGCAGCAUCGGCCAUUGUGUUCCCAGUGAUUCCAACAUGGCUGGGCAACCAACAGAAAACAAUGUCGCAUUGGCCAGAAGCAAGAUCAUUAAACAAUUCAAUAAUUUUUAAUUAUAAGUGGAUGCGUGGUUGACAUGUUUUUAAUAGCCUGGAUGCAAGAAAGAAAAUCAGAAAAAAUUAUGAAGUGUUUAUGUUUAGAAUGGCUGUUGAUGUAUUUAAGUGCUGUGAAAAUAGCAUUUGCUUCUGCUGUAAAAAUAGAACAGUUAUUUGGUAAGCGGGAUGAGAUAGUCCUGGAUCCAAGGACAGUGGCGCUAGCAACAGCGUCACCAUCUUUGGAUCCAUCUGUAAAUAUAGAUUUGUAAGCAUCAUAUGUGCUGCGUUAUUCAUGAUAUUGUUGUUGAUAAAUUAGUUGAUUUGUGUCAGAUUUCUUUAGUUUGGUUAAUGUUAGGUUCACCUCCGGCUUCACAAACUGCCAUGGUGGAGAAGAAAAAAGCUGAGUGGGGGCAAUGUUUUCAAGCUUUAUUUGCGCAGCAGAAAUAUGAGAUUUUAUUCUUAUUCAAAGAGGUGUAAGAAGAGAUGACUUUGUGUGGUAGAGAUUUUCGUGUAGAGGAUUAAAAAUACAAUCAUAAGUUGGGUUGGAUUUCAAAGAACGUAAUUUAGAUAUAUAUUGCAAAGACAAUUGAAUGCGACGUUGUUUAAGGGACGGCUCAUCAGCCGCCACAUACAGACGUUGUAUCGGCAAGGUUCGGAAGGUUCCAAGGCAAAGCCUCAGGCCUUGAUGGUGAAUAGGAUCUAGAAUUUUUAAAUUGCUUUUACAAGCUCCACCAUAAAUGAUGGAGCCAUAAUCUAGUUUGGAGCAGAUAAGUGCUCUGUAUAGUUGCAGGAGGGUUUUCUGAUCUCCUCCCCACUUAGAGUUUGAGACAACUUUAAGUAAGUCCAGGGCCUUCAGACAUACUGUCUGUCUGUCUGUCUGUCUGUCUGUCAUAUUCAUCAAAUAUAAACAUAUAAACUUUCGAUAAACUAUUAAUUUUAAUGCUAAAUAAUGUGACAGACAAGAUACUGCCUUCUGGGACACCCUGGUCCUGAUUAUUAUGAUCAGACAGGGACUUGAAAUUGUCCGUCUGUUAAAAAUUUGGAUAUAAACUGAGGCAAAGGGCCUCGCAAUCCAAAGUUUAUGUAAAUCCUUUAAAUUACCAUGUUUCCAUGUAGUGUCAUAUGCUUUUUCUAGAUCGAAAAAGAUUGAGACUGCAUGUUGUUUGUUUAUUAUUGCAUUUUUUACAAAGGAUUCUAAUCGUACUAAAUGAUCGAUAGUACUUCUGUUCUUACGGAAACCACACUGUAUAUUUGUAAUGACAUUAUUGGUUUCUUAGUACCAAACAAGUCGAUUAUUACAAUGCGUUCCAUGUUUUUGUAAACGCAGCUUGUCAUUGAGAUCGGUCGAUAAUUUGAUGGAUCUGUCUGAUCACGUCCUGGUUUAGGUAUUCGAACAACAAUGGCAUCACGCACAAACGGUGAAAAUCGUCCUGACGUCCAAAUGUCAUCAAAAAUAUUUAACAGUGAUUGUAAACAUGGUUCUGGUAAGUGGUUCAGGAGUUAAUAAUGUAUGUUAUCAGCUCCAGUAGCAGUAUCGUUAGCUUGUCCGAGGGCAGGUUGUAGUUCAUGUAAUAUUUCAUUGUAAUCUUCCCCAUUAUCUGAAUUAAAAUGAAUAGGUUUCUUUUCCUGCUGUUUUUGAUAUUUUUUUAAUUUGGGUACAUAAUUGGAUGAGGAAGAAUA
Molecule: unclassified non-coding RNA, 2906 nt
Filed under: Haliotis rufescens (red abalone)
Lineage: Eukaryota; Metazoa; Mollusca; Gastropoda; Lepetellida; Haliotidae
Description: uncharacterized oxidoreductase MexAM1_META1p0182- like, transcript variant X1
Source: RNAcentral